Molecule: ribosomal RNA, 492 nt
Filed under: uncultured bacterium
Lineage: Bacteria
Description: partial 16S ribosomal RNA
Rfam family: Bacterial small subunit ribosomal RNA
Source: RNAcentral
AGUGAACGCUGGCGGUAGGCCUAACACAUGCAAGUCGAACGGCAGCACAGUAAGAGCUUGCUCUUACGGGUGGCGAGUGGCGGACGGGUGAGGAAUACAUCGGAAUCUACUUUUUCGUGGGGGAUAACGUAGGGAAACUUACGCUAAUACCGCAUACGACCUACGGGUGAAAGCAGGGGAUCUUCGGACCUUGCGCGAUUGAAUGAGCCGAUGUCGGAUUAGCUAGUUGGCGGGGUAAAGGCCCACCAAGGCGACGAUCCGUAGCUGGUCUGAGAGGAUGAUCAGCCACACUGGAACUGAGACACGGUCCAGACUCCUACGGGAGGCAGCAGUGGGGAAUAUUGGACAAUGGGCGCAAGCCUGAUCAAGCCAUACCGCGUGAGUGAAGAAGGCCUUCGGGUUGUAAAGCCCUUUUGUUGGGAAAGAAAAGCAGCAGGUUGAUACCCCGCUGUUCUGACGGUACCCAAAGAAUAAGCACCGGCUAACUUCGUG